RNAcentral lists this ribosomal RNA (110 nucleotides) under Periophthalmus magnuspinnatus. Lineage: Eukaryota; Metazoa; Chordata; Actinopteri; Gobiiformes; Gobiidae. The record is from RNAcentral.
UGUGACAGACCUCCUUGUCAAAGCCUGAUCUCAUUAGAUCUCAGAAGCUAAGCAGGCUGGGUCUGGUUAUUACUUAGAUGAGAAACUGAUGGGAAUACCAGGCGCCACAG